RNAcentral lists this long non-coding RNA (1128 nucleotides) under Struthio camelus australis. RNAcentral describes it as "lncRNA (ENSSCUG00000008479.1)". Lineage: Eukaryota; Metazoa; Chordata; Aves; Struthioniformes; Struthionidae. The record is from RNAcentral.
GACUUUCACCGGGCCUUUUCUUCGGACCGGUGCUGCCUCUGUGUCUUACAGUCACCUAAAAUGAACCUUCUAUGUUCAGUGACCCUCAGUACAGUGUAUGCAAAUCCCAGCCCUGGGUGUACUCAGCAUGCCUUUGGAUCUUUGAUGGUCGCAUUUUGAACAGUCUAUUCAGUGGAGGAGAAGGCAUUGCAUAAGUUCAAGCUUUUACAGGCCCUUUCCACCAGAAUAAUUUGAAGACAACAAAACAAGACUAUUUUUUGAACGUCUCAUCAUGUUCGCUGUAGAAACUGUUGCUUUCAUAUACCUUUCCUUUCCCGCCUUUUACCUAAGUGAUCGGUGCUGUCUUCCUUACCAUGACAGUUAUCCCAGACUCUACCUGUUUAUUUCUGUCCUCUUUUCCCCAUCUUGAGUACCUCCUGGGCAGUACCUCUUGGAGCUAACUCCAUUUCUGUGUUAUUGUGAGGCCCUGUGGAUAAUUCUGGGGCACUGCUUUAGCUUAGACACCACUCCUUUACCUGCACAGGACUGUGCAGAGUUUCUGUCUUGAGCUUUGGUUGUAUUAAAGCUCCUGCUCCUGAGCAGGUUCUUGAGUUGCCCCGAGUUUCAAAGGCAUUUCAUUUUCUCAAAACCCCUGCUUAAUUUCUCUGGCGAAGGUGUGAGCUUCUUCAGUUGUAAGUCAUAGGGUUUCAGUAUGGUGUGAGGGCACCAUGUCCUUGGUGCCCUCCACCUUCCUCACAGGGGAGUCCAUGCUAGAGGUUGACUGGAGUCCUUGUUUUUUCCCCAUACAUGUAGAGAGCUUGGAUCCAUGUUGUUGUUUCCUUGGCUGCACUUCUCUGUGCUACCCAAAGGGAUGGAUAUGUUGCUCCCAGGCCUUUUGGUGUCUAGGAGCAACUGGAUGAACUUCCAGAGUCCCUCAGAACAUGGUCUUGUCCCAUCAGGCACGGGAUAUGCAUUUCUCAUACCCUGGAAAUUCACACCCUGCCCUUGGUCUGCAGGUAGUCUGCAUGGGACCUCAGCAUCCUGCAGUUUGUUCCUGCUCUUCUUAUGAAUGAUAUCGCCAAAAUGAAGUUUUUCUUUACAUGUGGUGACUGCUUUCUGAAUUGAGAUGCCUGUUGCAGAGAACCCUAG